CAGGAAAUGGCAUGUAACGAGAUGCAGGGGAAACAUGGCGGAGAACAAAGAGGUCAACAUGCUGCAUUUCAAGGUUCCCACAUCACACCAGUCAAACUCUGUUCAUCAUUCAGCAGGUCAAAUUAACAAAGGACAAAUUAUUCUGCAGCUUCGUCUGCUGUCUCACAUUCAGCAGGUCAAAUUUGGGUCAAAUUACGUGACGUCAUGCUGAAAAUGUGUCUUCAAAUUAAUCACUGAUUAACUCUGAUACACACAGAGGGUGAAGACACUCUGGGAAACUUUAAACGACCCAGAAACUGAUCAGUUCAGUCAUUUAAAUACAGUUUCCACUGACUGUCCUGAGUGUUGUUAAAUCAGACAGGAAGUGUUUGUUAAUCCAAAUUAAAAGUUUGGUCUUAAACUGUUGAGUUCAGGCAGUCUGAGUUAAAUCUUGUUAAUGCUGAUAAGGUGAGUGCCCAGUGGGAGCUCUGUGGUGUCGCAGCAGCUGGUUGAUCCUUUAGAGGCACAAACAGCUGACAGUUAAAUUAAAUCCAUGAUGCGAUGUUAGCGUGUAGCAGGCAGACGAAGGCUCAGCUGAUCAGCUGAUCUUACCUCGACGCAUCGCUGACUUUAGUAAAAAAUAA
Long non-coding RNA from Epinephelus moara (kelp grouper), 623 nucleotides. RefSeq lists it as uncharacterized. The record is from RefSeq and is a predicted model, not a curated record. The transcript has 2 exons. Lineage: Eukaryota; Metazoa; Chordata; Actinopteri; Perciformes; Serranidae.